Molecule: ribosomal RNA, 253 nt
Filed under: uncultured bacterium
Lineage: Bacteria
Description: partial 16S ribosomal RNA
Rfam family: Bacterial small subunit ribosomal RNA
Source: RNAcentral
UACGUAGGUGGCAAGCGUUAUCCGGAUUUACUGGGUGUAAAGGGCGUGUAGGCGGGACUGCAAGUCAGAUGUGAAACCCAUGGGCUCAACCCAUGGCCUGCAUUUGAAACUGUAGUUCUUGAGUGGUGGAGAGGCAGGCGGAAUUCCGUGUGUAGCGGUGAAAUGCGUAGAUAUACGGAGGAACACCAGUGGCGAAGGCGGCCUGCUGGACAUUAACUGACGCUGAGGCGCGAAAGCGUGGGGAGCAAACAGG